AUUGAACGCUGGCGGCAGGCCUAACACAUGCAAGUCGAAUGGUAACAGGAAACAGCUUGCUGUUUCGCUGACGAGUGGCGGACGGGUGAGUAAUGUCUGGGAAACUGCCUGAUGGAGGGGGUUAACUACUGGAAACGGUAGCUAAUACCGCAUAACGUCGCAAGCCCAAAGAGGGGGACCUUCGGGCCUCUUGCCAUCAGAUGUUCCCAGAUGGGAUUAGCUAGUAGGUGGGGUAACGGCUCACCUAGGCGACGAUCCCUAGCUGGUCUGAGAGGAUGACCAGCCACACUGGAACUGAGACACGGUCCAGACUCCUACGGGAGGCAGCAGUGGGGAAUAUUGCACAAUGGGCGAAAGCCUGAUGCAGCCAUGCCGCGUGUAUGAAGAAGGCCUUCGGGUUGUAAAGUACUUUCAGCGGGGAGGAAGGGAGUAAAGUUAAUACCUUUGCUCAUUGACGUUACCCAAAGAAGAAGCACCGGCUAACUCCGUG
This 490-nucleotide ribosomal RNA is filed under the name uncultured bacterium. RNAcentral's name for it is "partial 16S ribosomal RNA". It matches the Rfam family "Bacterial small subunit ribosomal RNA", at positions 30 to 507 of the family's 1533-position model. The record is from RNAcentral.